Molecule: non-coding RNA, 143 nt
Organism: Caenorhabditis elegans
Lineage: Eukaryota; Metazoa; Nematoda; Chromadorea; Rhabditida; Rhabditidae
Source: Ensembl
GGUCAAGCCAAAAUACAAGCGUGAUAAGCAUACAAGUGGAUGUGGCGGAGUGGUGAGAGUGGAAGAGAGCCCCCACUCGGCGGCUCGUUGCUGAAGAGAAGUAGUGUGCGGAAGAUCUAGAUAGACAUAUGUUGAAUAGUCGU